AUACGGAGGAUCCGAGCGUUAUCCGGAUUUAUUGGGUUUAAAGGGAGCGUAGGUGGACAGUUAAGUCAGUUGUGAAAGUUUGCGGCUCAACCGUACAAUUGCAGUUGAUACUGGCUGUCUUGAGUACAGUAGAGGUGGGCGGAAUUCGUGGUGUAGCGGUGAAAUGCUUAGAUAUCACGAAGAACUCCGAUUGCGAAGGCAGCUCACUGGACUGCAACUGACACUGAUGCUCGAAAGUGUGGGUAUCAAACAGGAUUAGAUACCCUGGUAGUCCACACAGUAAACGAUGAAUACUCGCUGGUUGCGAUAUACAGUAAGCGGCCAAGCGAAAGCAUUAAGUAUUCCACCUGGGGAGUACGCCGGCAACGGUGAAACUCAAAUGAAUUGACGGGG
Molecule: ribosomal RNA, 393 nt
Filed under: uncultured bacterium
Lineage: Bacteria
Description: partial 16S ribosomal RNA
Rfam family: Bacterial small subunit ribosomal RNA
Source: RNAcentral